AGAAUAAGUCGUUUUUUUAAAUGGUCGAUGUGUUUCUCGGGAACCCGAGCAGACGUGUUUAAAUAAGACACUGCUUAAAUUUUUUCAAUUUUUAUCAUCUUAGGUAUUUUAAAAAACGUCUCUUAUAAGGGAAUAGUAUACACCUUACUGCCUCUUUUCCUAUUCUCUUAAGAGAGAUUAAUUUUAAUGGGCAGCCCCAGGACAGUGGCAUGGGAGGCUGCCCUUGUGAAAGGAGGGAAAGGGAGACGGAGGCUGCAGAGCAUUCCAAGCCCUGCCGACCAGAAGGGGAAAUUGCCCCUUGGAAUGAGCAGCAGCGAGAGCCCUGGCUGUGCAUCUGCCUUCUGCCACCCUCAGUUCCAAGGUGCCAGACUCGCUCGGAGAGUGCUAACAUCCGUGCUGUGCUGCCGUGUGGGGUCGAGGCCCAGUGGGGGCUGCAUUUGUUGGCACGGGGACACCCUCCUUACAGCUGCGUUCCUCCUCCCGUGGCGUUCACUGUGGAAAACACAUCCGUGCGUCCUGUGCUUGGUGGCCAGCAGGAAAAAGUGAUGCCAAGGCUGAGCACAGAACGCCCCGAACCACCCCAAAUUAGCGGCAAGGGGGGAGCUCAGCGCACAGGGUCUCAGGAGCAACGCAGUUGGCCGUGGCCAGUACCCACCCGGCCAAAUUUCCUCUCCCGUGACCCCAGAGGAACAAAAAGCUCUGUGGCAUCAUCUGGCUGUUUCAGACAACACCCAGGGGAUACGCCGCUGCUUUUGGGCCCCACUGGCCACACGUCGAGGGAGCUGGGGCACAGCACGGAGCCGGCCCGCAGGCUGCAGGCGGGAAGGUGCCACCACGGAGGCGCGCCGGGACCGCCGGCCCCUGGCAGCCGCUGCCGUCGGGGGGACCCCCGGGGGCAGGCGGGGUGUUCCCCCACCCCCGGCCCUCCGGAAUGGGGGACAGCAGGCGACAGGGGGCGCCCCGCCACCGCUUUUAGCUCGCGGGACAGCGGAACGGGCCCUUCCCGGCGGGGGCCCCGCCGCUCGCCCCCCCUUUUGGGGGCAAAGCCCCCUUUUCCUGGCGCGUCCCCGCAUGUCCCCGCCCUGGGGGCAGCCCCAUCGGGUCGCACCUUUCGUUUUCAGCCGCCCCCCAGAUCCCCGAAGGCGGGCAGGCGGCGGGAGGAGGAGGGCUGCCCCUAUCGCCGCGGCUAUCGCGAUAGGAAGGUGCCCUCCCGGGGCCGUUUUCGUUUGGAGCUGGCUCCGGAGGGUGUCGGGACACGGGGAAAAGUCCCCCGGGCCCCUCUUUAGGUGCCCCCGCUGGCUGUCGGGUCUGUGUUAAUGUUUAAAAACUAGCGCCGGCUU
RNAcentral lists this long non-coding RNA (1340 nucleotides) under Anas platyrhynchos platyrhynchos (common mallard). Its description in RNAcentral is "lncRNA (ENSAPLG00000024505.1)". The record is from RNAcentral. Lineage: Eukaryota; Metazoa; Chordata; Aves; Anseriformes; Anatidae.